This 73-nucleotide transfer RNA is filed under the name Felis catus (domestic cat). It matches the Rfam family "tRNA". Rfam says of the family: Transfer RNA (tRNA) molecules are approximately 80 nucleotides in length. Their secondary structure includes four short double-helical elements and three loops (D, anti-codon, and T loops). The record is from Rfam by way of RNAcentral. Lineage: Eukaryota; Metazoa; Chordata; Mammalia; Carnivora; Felidae.
GCCUGGCUGGCUUAGUAGGUAAAGCAUGUGACUCUUAAUCUCAAGGUUGUGAGUUCAAGCCCCAUGUUGGGUA